Molecule: non-coding RNA, 48 nt
Filed under: Schistosoma curassoni
Lineage: Eukaryota; Metazoa; Platyhelminthes; Trematoda; Strigeidida; Schistosomatidae
Source: RNAcentral
AUCCAGCUGACUCGUCCUAAAUAGGACAAAACACGCGUCUUACUGGAU